UUUCAGGGUCGGCACCCCUCCCUUAAGCAGCGCCCUAGGCGGUCGCCUAGUUUGACUGUAGGGAGCGCCGGCCCUGUAUCCAAUAAUAAUGGAUACAUUUCACAGAGCGUGACCACCCUGGAGGACCAACAAUGCCGCAACAAUAUAAAGAUACGGGGCGUACCAGCCGACACAACGGCAGAGGAACUACCCCAUUACACCCGGAGGCUGCUGGAAUCCAUCUUGUCACCCGUAGUGGCCAAGAAAAUCACCUUAGCAGGCAUAUAUCGCCUCAUCAACACAGCUAACUCCUCUUCCACCAUGCCGAGGGAUGUUAUCAUACGCUGCACUUCCAUAUCUGACAAGGCUCACAUAAUGGCGGCUCUACGAGGCAAAACGCCGCUGCAGUUCAAAGGCACGCCUGAACUUUUUUCAAGACCUUUCCAAAACAUCCCUGCAGUGGCGCAGGUCCCUGGGGCCUGUCACAGCCGGUCCUGAGGGAUACCUUAUAGAUGGGGAACGAUGGGAUCCCUAGUGGCUACACAUAAUGGAGCUACACACACACUCCACUCGAUGGCCAACUCGCAGACGUUAAUAACGGCCCUGGGACUCACACACCCAGAUACAGAAGCAUCGGCCGGAACCUCCAGCAGCAGCUGGGACCCAGCCACCAUUGAACCCUUCGUGCCCAGAGGCCUGAACAUACCAGGGACCUAACUACCCAGCCCCCGAUCGGGACUUAUGCCGACACACCGGCCUUGAGAACUUGGACACAUGCCAACCAUGGCGACCAAAAAGUUGUUUUGCUCUUUUAUGUUUAGUUCCCAUUUGUCGUAAUGGUUAAGCAUGUACACUGAGAGCACACUACCAGACACAGUACAACACACACUGCAGACCAAGACUGACAGAUUGAGACCACACACACCUAUACCGACCCAGGUGAAACAACCCCCCCCCCGACACCCCCUAGAUAAGGGGUAUACUAUUCAGCAGAGAAAGGGGCCAUAAGACAGCUUACACAAUACCACAUCAUUGAAGACUAGCACUGUUAAAAGCCUAGCACCUGAUAAAACACUCACGACAUGGCACCCCAAUCUCACUAUGAACGCCUGACCGAACCUGCACUUGCACAACUGUACGGAACGACCCCACAUGCCCUGCUACACCACAGCCUGCAUAAUGGCACUCCAAGCCAGGUCCCUCGGAACACCAUUCACUAACACGAAUAUCCAACUAUAGCAAGCUACACCUCGAAUGACCUGGAGAGACAAUUGCUUGACAAUAACAUACAUAAAAUGGUGCGGACAAGCUACCUUACA
Molecule: non-coding RNA, 1298 nt
Organism: Pelobates cultripes (western spadefoot toad)
Lineage: Eukaryota; Metazoa; Chordata; Amphibia; Anura; Pelobatidae
Source: the annotation of a GenBank genome assembly